UUGAAAAGGAAGCUCAACUCUCAAAAUAGUAACAGACUAAGGCCCUGUUUGGGAGAGCUUUUGGAGGGUCAAAAAGCACUUUCUGGCCCUCCAAAAGCACUUUUGGAUAAAAAAGGAUGUUUAGCAAAAAUUUUAGAAAGCUGUUUUAGCUUUUUCAAAAAGCUAAAAAUAGCUUUGGAGAAUCUUCAUUUUGGAGCUUUCCAAAAAAACUAUUUUGAGCUUUGUCGGAAAGCUAUUUUUUGACCAAAAUACCUAUAAUAAAAUAUAACAAUUACAUAUUUUAUCCCUUUAUAAUUCUAAAAAUCUACUGGAGCCCUAACAAAGAGCCGUAGCUAUGGAUCAGACUCCCUUCCGUAUAAAAAAAGGUAUUCUUGUUUUCCAUUAUUAUUUUAUACCUUUAUUAUUGUAUUAUACUAUAAAUAUAAUAUUAUAUUAUAUUAUAUCAUAAUACAUUAAUAUGUUAUAUUAAAUAAUUUAAUAUUAUGUUAUAUUAUAAAAAAAUAUUUAUGCUAACAAUUAUAAUAUUUUAUAUCUUUAUUAUUAUAUUAUACUAUAAAUAUAAUAAUAUAUUACAUUAUACUAUAAUGCAUUGAUAUGUUAUGUUAAAUAAUUUAGUAUUAUAUUAAAUUAUUAUACUAU
RNAcentral lists this long non-coding RNA (639 nucleotides) under Phoenix dactylifera (date palm). Its description in RNAcentral is "long non-coding RNA (PDAC_LNC007133)". The record is from RNAcentral. Lineage: Eukaryota; Viridiplantae; Streptophyta; Magnoliopsida; Arecales; Arecaceae.